Heterocephalus glaber (naked mole-rat) is the source of this 1167-nucleotide non-coding RNA. The record is from RefSeq and is a predicted model, not a curated record. Lineage: Eukaryota; Metazoa; Chordata; Mammalia; Rodentia; Bathyergidae.
AUUUGGGAACCAUUAUGUUCUUAGAUCUGGUCCUCGGGAAUAGCUACGAGACACUCUAGUCCCAGCUCAGGACUGGAACCUUUGCCAUGUGCUGUGUUAACGUCUGCUGCCGCCUCCUUGGUGAGGUCUGUGGGUGCAGUGUUAAGUUCUGGAUUUUGUUCCUUGGUAGCAUGGAGAGGUUGGAAGAAAAGGAGGAUGGGAUUUUGACACAGAAAAAGAUUUUUUUAAAGAGCAUCCCUAUUAUUUUACUUUUAAUACCUGAUGGCCUGAUGUCUCAUGAUGGGAUACCUCUAAAAAGAAAUACUUGUUACUGGCUCUUAAUAGUUUACUAUCUAUCAACAACCUCAUCCCCAGUUUCCCUUUUGUUUCCAAACAAGGAAGUCUGAUAAUCUACAGGGCUGCAAUCCCAUGUACUCACUGAGCCUGUCAGCUCUCCAUAAUGAAAUGACCUUGGCUGAACUUCAUUCAGAGGGUUUAGCCAGGAGAGAGGAUUAAAUGUACUAAGAGCGCAGUUCCUGGAGAGGAAUGGAGAGUGAGCCAGGUGGCCUGGAAUUCCAUGGCUUCUCGAUGCAAAAGUGUGAGCAGCCUGACGCCAGAUACUCGCCUUACACCUUGGUGCGGAUAACGGAGGCAGAGAUGAGGGCGUAUUACCGUUUCCUAGGGAGCUGCAUCACGCUGGAAUAUAGGGCCAAAAAAGCGCUUCCGCUGCUCAAAUCCUCCCUGUCCUCUGAAGCAGAGUGUGUCUCCGAGGUCAGCAGUAACACAGCCCACAAUCCAUCAUAGCACUCGGAUGUGAUUGCCUUUUCUUUGGAGGACCUAGACCAAGAGGCGUUGACUAUCUCUGUGGGGCUGAGCAGCCUUGGGGAGUAGACGUUCAUGGCAACCAUGCGCCCUGCUGUACUGAGCUAUGGAUCCUGAGUGACAGAGGCACCUGUUCAUGUGCUUAUGGGAGGGAGGCUGUGAUAUAUGGAGCCUUCAAGUGCAGGGCGUGGGUCAGAAAUCACGAGGAAACUUUCUGGGAGAUGAAAGCGAUCCAUAUCUUGAUCCGCCACAUGGUUACAUCACUGUACAUAUUGGUCAGAAUUCAUCAUGUUGUGUACUUAGGAUUGGUACAUUCCAUUGAAUGUAAAUUAUACCUCAAUAAAGUAUUGUUUAUAUAAAAAUAAA